UAUAAACUCUUCAAGUUCUAGCUUGGUAAUGAAUUUUUGUCCCUUGACAAAUUCUAAAAUAUUUUGUCUGUUGUAAAAAGCCUUUUGCUUUGACGUAACCAAUGACUUUGCGCUCGGCAAAUCUUUUACAACAAGUUUUUAUCUUCUUCCACAGUUUAACCUC
RNAcentral lists this unclassified non-coding RNA (163 nucleotides) under Trypethelium eluteriae. RNAcentral's name for it is "ITS2". Lineage: Eukaryota; Fungi; Ascomycota; Dothideomycetes; Trypetheliales; Trypetheliaceae. The record is from RNAcentral.